Molecule: ribosomal RNA, 894 nt
Filed under: Hagleromyces aurorensis
Lineage: Eukaryota; Fungi; Ascomycota; Saccharomycetes; Saccharomycetales; Saccharomycetaceae
Description: LSU rRNA
Rfam family: Eukaryotic large subunit ribosomal RNA
Source: RNAcentral
UUGACCUCAGAUCAGGCAGGAGUACCCGCUGAACUUAAGCAUAUCAAUAAGCGGAGGAAAAGAAACCAACCGGGAUUGCCUCAGUAACGGCGAGUGAAGCGGCAAGAGCUCAAAUUUGAAAUCUGGCGCCGUGGCGGCGUCCGAGUUGUAGUUUGGAGAGGGCGGCUUUGGGGCACGCGCGCGGCCCAUGUCCCUUGGAAGAGGGCGUCACAGAGGGUGAGAACCCCGUGUGGCCGCGCGGCGCUGUGUCCCGUGUAAAGCGCACUCGAAGAGUCGAGUUGUUUGGGAAUGCAGCUCCAAGCGGGUGGUAAAUUCCAUCUAAAGCUAAAUACAGGCGAGAGACCGAUAGCGAACAAGUACAGUGAUGGAAAGAUGAAAAGCACUUUGAAAAGAGAGUGAAAGAGUACGUGAAAUUGUUGAAAGGGAAGGGCAUGUGAGCAGACACGGCGGCGCGCGCUCUUUUGCGCGCGGCGUGCGGGCCAGCAUCGGUUUCUGCCGCCGGACAAGACGCCGGCAACGUGGCUGGGGCCCUCGGGCGCCAGCGGUUUACAGGCCGGGGCGAUGCGGCGAGCGGGGACCGAGGAACGCGACUCUUGCGAGUCAAGGAUGCUGGCGUAAUGGUUACAUGCCGCCCGUCUUGAAACACGGACCAAGGAGUCUAACGUCUAUGCGAGUGUGUGGGUGUGAAACCCGUGCGCGGAAUGAAAGUGAACGCAGGUUGGGGCCGCGCCAGCGAUGGCGGGGUGCACAAUCGACCGAUCCUGAAGUGUUCGGAUGGAUUUGAGUAGGAGCAUAGCUGUUGGGACCCGAAAGAUGGUGAACUAUGCCUGAAUACGGUGAAGCCAGAGGAAACUCUGGUGGAGGCUCGUAGCGGUUCUGACGUGCAAAUCGAUU